GCAGUCUGCAACUCGACUGCGUGAAGGUGGAGUCGCUAGUAAUCGCGGAUCAGCAACGCCGCGGUGAAUGCGUUCCCGGGCCUUGUACACACCGCCCGUCAAGUCAUGAAAGUGGGCAGCACCCGAAGACGGUGGCCUAACCCUUGUGGGGGGAGCCGUCUAAGGUGAGGCUCGUGAUUGGGACUAAGUCGUAACAAGGUAGC
RNAcentral lists this ribosomal RNA (203 nucleotides) under uncultured bacterium. RNAcentral's name for it is "partial 16S ribosomal RNA". It matches the Rfam family "Bacterial small subunit ribosomal RNA", at positions 1300 to 1500 of the family's 1533-position model. The record is from RNAcentral.